RNAcentral lists this transfer RNA (27 nucleotides) under Rhinella henseli. Its description in RNAcentral is "partial tRNA-Phe". Lineage: Eukaryota; Metazoa; Chordata; Amphibia; Anura; Bufonidae. The record is from RNAcentral.
ACCUAAAAAGUUCUUUAAACACAAAGG